This is a long non-coding RNA of Cucurbita maxima (winter squash), 212 nucleotides long. RefSeq lists it as uncharacterized. Lineage: Eukaryota; Viridiplantae; Streptophyta; Magnoliopsida; Cucurbitales; Cucurbitaceae. The record is from RefSeq and is a predicted model, not a curated record. The transcript has 3 exons.
UCGGUGGCUCCUAGCAGCUGUUCGGCUCGGCUCACCUGUUUUCAACCCGGUUUCCACUGUUUCGACCCUCUUGGAUCUGUUUUCGGCCCCGAUUAAGGAAACAAACCCCAGCAACAUAGGAAGCAACUCUCACGGAACAGGAGCUUACGUUUAGCUAUUUAGGGAGUACUUCGGCCAAGGCCAACAAAGUAAAGGCAAGGCACCCAUGUACG